This 403-nucleotide ribosomal RNA is filed under the name uncultured Lachnospiraceae bacterium. RNAcentral describes it as "partial 16S ribosomal RNA". It matches the Rfam family "Bacterial small subunit ribosomal RNA", at positions 355 to 774 of the family's 1533-position model. Lineage: Bacteria; Bacillati; Bacillota; Clostridia; Lachnospirales; Lachnospiraceae. The record is from RNAcentral.
UGGGGAAUAUUGCACAAUGGGCGAAAGCCUGAUGCAGCAACGCCGCGUGAGGGAAGAAGGGUUUCGGCUCGUAAACCUCUAUCGAUGGGGAAAAAUAAAGAUUGUACCCAAGUAAGAAGCCCCGGCUAACUACGUGCCAGCAGCCGCGGUAAUACGUAGGGGGCAAGCGUUAUCCGGAAUCACUGGGUGUAAAGGGUGAGUAGGCGGUAUGGAAAGUCAUAUGUGAAAAGGGAGGGCUCAACCCUCCUCGUGCAUAAGAAACUUCCGAACUAGAGUACAGAAGAGGUAAGCGGAAUUCCUAGUGUAGCGGUGAAAUGCGUAGAUAUUAGGAAGAACACCGGUGGCGAAGGCGGCUUACUGGGCUUGUACUGACGCUGAUACACGAAAGCGUGGGGAGCAAACA